This 403-nucleotide ribosomal RNA is filed under the name uncultured bacterium. RNAcentral describes it as "partial 16S ribosomal RNA". It matches the Rfam family "Bacterial small subunit ribosomal RNA", at positions 30 to 526 of the family's 1533-position model. The record is from RNAcentral.
AUUGAACGCUGGCGGCAGGCCUAACACAUGCAAGUCGAGCGAGCGGCGGACGGGUGAGUAAUGUAUGGGGACUACCCGAUCGAGGGGGAUAACUACUGGAAACGGUGGCUAAUACCGCAUACUAUCGGAUAACACAUAUGGGAGGAGCUAGUAGGUGGGGUAAAGGCUCACCUAGGCGACGAUCUCUAGCUGGUCUGAGAGGAUGAUCAGCAACACUGGGACGGAGACAAGGCCCAGACUCCGACGGAGGCAGCAGUGAGGAAUAUUGGACAAUGGGCACAAGCCUGAUGCAGCCAUGCCGCGUGUAUGAAGAAGGCCUUAGGGUUGUAAAGUACUUUCAGCGGGGAGGCGUUACCCGCAGAAGAAGCACCGGCUAACUCCGUGCCAGCAGCCGCGGUAAUUC